This 2789-nucleotide ribosomal RNA is filed under the name Escherichia coli. Its description in RNAcentral is "bacterial LSU rRNA". It matches the Rfam family "Bacterial large subunit ribosomal RNA". The record is from RNAcentral. Lineage: Bacteria; Pseudomonadati; Pseudomonadota; Gammaproteobacteria; Enterobacterales; Enterobacteriaceae.
AGCGUACACGGUGGAUGCCCUGGCAGUCAGAGGCGAUGAAGGACGUGCUAAUCUGCGAUAAGCGUCGGUAAGGUGAUAUGAACCGUUAUAACCGGCGAUUUCCGAAUGGGGAAACCCAGUGUGUUUCGACACACUAUCAUUAACUGAAUCCAUAGGUUAAUGAGGCGAACCGGGGGAACUGAAACAUCUAAGUACCCCGAGGAAAAGAAAUCAACCGAGAUUCCCCCAGUAGCGGCGAGCGAACGGGGAGCAGCCCAGAGCCUGAAUCAGUGUGUGUGUUAGUGGAAGCGUCUGGAAAGGCGCGCGAUACAGGGUGACAGCCCCGUACACAAAAAUGCACAUGCUGUGAGCUCGAUGAGUAGGGCGGGACACGUGGUAUCCUGUCUGAAUAUGGGGGGACCAUCCUCCAAGGCUAAAUACUCCUGACUGACCGAUAGUGAACCAGUACCGUGAGGGAAAGGCGAAAAGAACCCCGGCGAGGGGAGUGAAAAAGAACCUGAAACCGUGUACGUACAAGCAGUGGGAGCACGCUUCGGCGUGUGACUGCGUACCUUUUGUAUAAUGGGUCAGCGACUUAUAUUCUGUAGCAAGGUUAACCGAAUAGGGGAGCCGAAGGGAAACCGAGUCUUAACUGGGCGUUAAGUUGCAGGGUAUAGACCCGAAACCCGGUGAUCUAGCCAUGGGCAGGUUGAAGGUUGGGUAACACUAACUGGAGGACCGAACCGACUAAUGUUGAAAAAUUAGCGGAUGACUUGUGGCUGGGGGUGAAAGGCCAAUCAAACCGGGAGAUAGCUGGUUCUCCCCGAAAGCUAUUUAGGUAGCGCCUCGUGAAUUCAUCUCCGGGGGUAGAGCACUGUUUCGGCAAGGGGGUCAUCCCGACUUACCAACCCGAUGCAAACUGCGAAUACCGGAGAAUGUUAUCACGGGAGACACACGGCGGGUGCUAACGUCCGUCGUGAAGAGGGAAACAACCCAGACCGCCAGCUAAGGUCCCAAAGUCAUGGUUAAGUGGGAAACGAUGUGGGAAGGCCCAGACAGCCAGGAUGUUGGCUUAGAAGCAGCCAUCAUUUAAAGAAAGCGUAAUAGCUCACUGGUCGAGUCGGCCUGCGCGGAAGAUGUAACGGGGCUAAACCAUGCACCGAAGCUGCGGCAGCGACGCUGAUGCGUUGUUGGGUAGGGGAGCGUUCUGUAAGCCUGCGAAGGUGUGCUGUGAGGCAUGCUGGAGGUAUCAGAAGUGCGAAUGCUGACAUAAGUAACGAUAAAGCGGGUGAAAAGCCCGCUCGCCGGAAGACCAAGGGUUCCUGUCCAACGUUAAUCGGGGCAGGGUGAGUCGACCCCUAAGGCGAGGCCGAAAGGCGUAGUCGAUGGGAAACAGGUUAAUAUUCCUGUACUUGGUGUUACUGCGAAGGGGGGACGGAGAAGGCUAUGUUGGCCGGGCGACGGUUGUCCCGGUUUAAGCGUGUAGGCUGGUUUUCCAGGCAAAUCCGGAAAAUCAAGGCUGAGGCGUGAUGACGAGGCACUACGGUGCUGAAGCAACAAAUGCCCUGCUUCCAGGAAAAGCCUCUAAGCAUCAGGUAACAUCAAAUCGUACCCCAAACCGACACAGGUGGUCAGGUAGAGAAUACCAAGGCGCUUGAGAGAACUCGGGUGAAGGAACUAGGCAAAAUGGUGCCGUAACUUCGGGAGAAGGCACGCUGAUAUGUAGGUGAGGUCCCUCGCGGAUGGAGCUGAAAUCAGUCGAAGAUACCAGCUGGCUGCAACUGUUUAUUAAAAACACAGCACUGUGCAAACACGAAAGUGGACGUAUACGGUGUGACGCCUGCCCGGUGCCGGAAGGUUAAUUGAUGGGGUCAGCCGCAAGGCGAAGCUCUUGAUCGAAGCCCCGGUAAACGGCGGCCGUAACUAUAACGGUCCUAAGGUAGCGAAAUUCCUUGUCGGGUAAGUUCCGACCUGCACGAAUGGCGUAAUGAUGGCCAGGCUGUCUCCACCCGAGACUCAGUGAAAUUGAACUCGCUGUGAAGAUGCAGUGUACCCGCGGCAAGACGGAAAGACCCCGUGAACCUUUACUAUAGCUUGACACUGAACAUUGAGCCUUGAUGUGUAGGAUAGGUGGGAGGCUUAGAAGUGUGGACGCCAGUCUGCAUGGAGCCGACCUUGAAAUACCACCCUUUAAUGUUUGAUGUUCUAACGUUGACCCGUAAUCCGGGUUGCGGACAGUGUCUGGUGGGUAGUUUGACUGGGGCGGUCUCCUCCUAAAGAGUAACGGAGGAGCACGAAGGUUGGCUAAUCCUGGUCGGACAUCAGGAGGUUAGUGCAAUGGCAUAAGCCAGCUUGACUGCGAGCGUGACGGCGCGAGCAGGUGCGAAAGCAGGUCAUAGUGAUCCGGUGGUUCUGAAUGGAAGGGCCAUCGCUCAACGGAUAAAAGGUACUCCGGGGAUAACAGGCUGAUACCGCCCAAGAGUUCAUAUCGACGGCGGUGUUUGGCACCUCGAUGUCGGCUCAUCACAUCCUGGGGCUGAAGUAGGUCCCAAGGGUAUGGCUGUUCGCCAUUUAAAGUGGUACGCGAGCUGGGUUUAGAACGUCGUGAGACAGUUCGGUCCCUAUCUGCCGUGGGCGCUGGAGAACUGAGGGGGGCUGCUCCUAGUACGAGAGGACCGGAGUGGACGCAUCACUGGUGUUCGGGUUGUCAUGCCAAUGGCACUGCCCGGUAGCUAAAUGCGGAAGAGAUAAGUGCUGAAAGCAUCUAAGCACGAAACUUGCCCCGAGAUGAGUUCUCCCUGACUCCUUGA